AUUGAACGCUGGCGGAAUGCUUUACACAUGCAAGUCGAACGGCAGCACGGGGCAACCUGGUGGCGAGUGGCGAACGGGUGAGUAAUAUAUCGGAACGUGCCCAAUCGUGGGGGAUAACGUAGCGAAAGUUACGCUAAUACCGCAUACGAUCUACGGAUGAAAGCGGGGGAUCGCAAGACCUCGCGCGAAUGGAGCGGCCGAUAUCAGAUUAGGUAGUUGGUGGGGUAAAGGCUCACCAAGCCAACGAUCUGUAGCUGGUCUGAGAGGACGACCGGCCACACUGGGACUGAGACACGGCCCAGACUCCUACGGGAGGCAGCAGUGGGGAAUAUUGCGCAAUGGGGGGAACCCUGACGCAGCAACGCCGCGUGAGUGAAGAAGGCCUUCGGGUCGUAAAGCUCUGUCGAGAGGGAAGAAGUCUUUGGAGCGAAUAGCUUUAGAGGUGACGGUACCUUUUGAGGAAGCCCCGGCUAACUACGUGCCAGCAGCCGCGGUAAAGCUACGU
Molecule: ribosomal RNA, 505 nt
Filed under: uncultured bacterium
Lineage: Bacteria
Description: bacterial SSU rRNA
Rfam family: Bacterial small subunit ribosomal RNA
Source: RNAcentral